This 429-nucleotide ribosomal RNA is filed under the name Bacteroidota bacterium. RNAcentral describes it as "Bacteroidetes bacterium partial 16S ribosomal RNA". It matches the Rfam family "Bacterial small subunit ribosomal RNA", at positions 355 to 776 of the family's 1533-position model. Lineage: Bacteria; Pseudomonadati; Bacteroidota. The record is from RNAcentral.
UAGGGAAUCUUCCGCAAUGGACGCAAGUCUGACGGAGCAACGCCGCGUGAGUGAAGAAGGAUUUCGGUUCGUAAAACUCUGUUGUUAGAGAAGAACAGCGCAUAGAGUAACUGUUAUGCGUGUGACGGUAUCUAACCAGAAAGCCACGGCUAACUACGUGCCAGCAGCCGCGGUAAUACGUAGGUGGCAAGCGUUGUCCGGAUUUAUUGUGCGUAAAGCGAGCGCAGGCGGUCAAUUAAGUCUGAUGUGAAAGCCCCCGGCUCAACCGGGGAGGGUCAUUGGAAACUGGUUGACUUGAGUGCAGAAGAGGAGAGUGGAAUUCCAUGUGUAGCGGUGAAAUGCGUAGAUAUAUGGAGGAACACCAGUGGCGAAGGCGACUCUCUGGUCUGUAACUGACGCUGAGGUUCGAAAGCGUGGGUAGCAAACAGG